This 508-nucleotide long non-coding RNA is filed under the name Olea europaea subsp. europaea. Lineage: Eukaryota; Viridiplantae; Streptophyta; Magnoliopsida; Lamiales; Oleaceae. The record is from RNAcentral.
AUUGGAAUUUGUUUUGCAGUCAAACAUUGAUACAAAAACAAGGGCUUCCUGCCGGAUUGAUAUAAAUAUAUAUAGACCGCUGCCUUUAGAAAAAAGGAGAGACAGAAACUGAGGGAGAAGAGGGCUGCUGGCUGCUGAAUUAUUUAUAUAUACAUACAUAGGCGGCUGGAAUUGGAUGUACAGCGCACGCAUAAAGAAACCGGGAGAGAGACGCCAACAUUGAGGAAAGAAAAGGAUAGAUAUACGUGACUUGCGGCGGAAGUGAUUAAAAUAUACACACAAAAAGCAAAGGGCUGCCAGGUUUUGGACACAGAAACACACAAGAAUUUGGUUGCCGCGGAAUUUCCUAGGAGGAAAAAUCAUAGAUACAUUCAUACAAUAUUGCGACUGCUUUGAAAAAGGAAUAGCCCAAGUGAAAAAUAUAGCCGUUAUGAGGUUCGCACAAGAGAGAGAAAAUUAAAUAUAUUUGCUUAGUGUGAUAGAUAACGGUUAUAUUUUUUAUUUUUUU